AACAAAGAAGUAAAAUUUACAUUUAAUUUCGACUUAAAUUUAGGGAUUAAUUACCCAUGUUU
This 62-nucleotide transfer RNA is filed under the name Krisna expansiva. Its description in RNAcentral is "tRNA-Arg". Lineage: Eukaryota; Metazoa; Arthropoda; Insecta; Hemiptera; Cicadellidae. The record is from RNAcentral.